Molecule: long non-coding RNA, 972 nt
Organism: Lathyrus oleraceus (garden pea)
Lineage: Eukaryota; Viridiplantae; Streptophyta; Magnoliopsida; Fabales; Fabaceae
Exons: 2
Source: RefSeq, a predicted model, not a curated record
AUAAAACACAAAGUAUUAUAAAUGAAAAAACUAGAGGAAGGGGGUGCAACACUGUCCAGGGGUGCAUGGGAGAAAUGGUGUUGGCACAACAUCAUUUGGCUCAGCAAGAAGCCCAAUAUGUUUGUUGUUGCUUCAAGAGAGGGGGUGGGAGGCUGGCGUGGGGUGUGAAAAGAAUGUUCAUGGGAUUGUGAGCUUUUGAAGCCCAAUGUGUGGCCAAGAGUUGAGGAAAGGGAUCAUAGAGUUCCAUUUCAUGCUAUUCUUCAUGUCUCAAGUCCUUCUCAAAAAGACCUCACCGGAUCCAAACCUCAUCGCGUCGGAAAUUCCCUCUGGCGGAGGUCCAAAUGACUUCAACCCUACCUCAAUCCAUGCGUCCUUACUCCCUUUCUCUCAAUCUAACUACGAUUUCCUCUAUUUCCUACACAAGAUUCCAAAUCGAAGUAAAGUAUUCAAGAACCCUAAGAAAGAAAACUCAAGUUAAACUACAAAGAUGAGGUAAAUGGAGCCCAAACCUUGGGGGUUCGGCUCCUUAGCAGAAUAGCUACAUCACAGUGAAUACUUUUGACACGGAUCAAAGAUGAGAAGAAGGAUAGCUCACCUGCCGGAGCAACUCUGACAGUUCUUCAAGGUGUAAGUGUUGAUAAAAGACGGUCUAAGAGUCGUCUACUUCCUCAUGGAUGGCACAUGGUAAGAGGGUGGACUAGGCAUGGAACAAGGCAUGUCAUGGAUUGGUCAUGAAGAAACUUGGUGUAGCAUCAAGACUCAUCAAGCACUUGAAGGCUUUGGAGGAAUAUCUUGUGAAUGAAGAAAAGUUGAAUAGGGUCUAGAUUAGAUCAGUUGACUUUGGUCAACUAUUUGACCAAAAAGUCAACAGUUGACUUUAUCAAAAUAUAAUUUUUGUAUGCAAUUUUGUAAUUUGGAUCUUUUGUAAGGUGACUUAAAUGUUUCUGUAAUAAAAAGGCCUUUUAAAAUGAA